This 492-nucleotide ribosomal RNA is filed under the name uncultured bacterium. Its description in RNAcentral is "partial 16S ribosomal RNA". It matches the Rfam family "Bacterial small subunit ribosomal RNA", at positions 29 to 507 of the family's 1533-position model. The record is from RNAcentral.
AGUGAACGCUGGCGGUAGGCCUAACACAUGCAAGUCGAACGGCAGCACAGUAAGAGCUUGCUCUUACGGGUGGCGAGUGGCGGACGGGUGAGGAAUACAUCGGAAUCUACUUUUUCGUGGGGGAUAACGUAGGGAAACUUACGCUACUACCGCAUACGACCUACGGGUGAAAGCAGGGGAUAUUCGGACCUUGCGCGAUUGUAUGAGCCGAUGUCGGAUUAGCUAGUUGGUGGGGUAAAGGCCCACCAAGGCGACGAUACGUAGCUGACCUGAGAGGGUGAUAGGCAACAAUGGAAAUGAGACACGGUCCAGCCUCCUACGGGAGGCAGCAGUAGGGAAGUUUUCGGAAUGGGCGAAAGCUUGACGGAGCAAUGCAGAGUGAGUGAUGAAGGUCUUCGGAUCGUAAAACUCCGUUAUGAGGGAAGAACAAAUGUGUAAGUAACUAUGCACGUCUUGACGGUACCUAAUCAGAAAGCAACGGCUAACUACGUG